This 468-nucleotide ribosomal RNA is filed under the name uncultured bacterium. Its description in RNAcentral is "partial 16S ribosomal RNA". It matches the Rfam family "Bacterial small subunit ribosomal RNA", at positions 28 to 507 of the family's 1533-position model. The record is from RNAcentral.
GACGAACGCUGGCGGCGUGCUUAACACAUGCAAGUCGAACGGAAAGGCCCUGCUUUUGUUGGGUGCUCGAGUGGCGAACGGGUGAGUAACACGUGAGUAACCUGCCCUUGACUUUGGGAUAACUUCAGGAAACUGGGGCUAAUACCGGAUAGGAGCUCCUGCUGCAUGGUGGGGGUUGGAAAGUUUCGGCGGUUGGGGAUGGACUCGCGGCUUAUCAGCUUGUUGGUGGGGUAGUGGCUUACCAAGGCUUUGACGGGUAGCCGGCCUGAGAGGGUGACCGGCCACAUUGGGACUGAGAUACGGCCCAGACUCCUACGGGAGGCAGCAGUGGGGAAUAUUGCACAAUGGGAGGAAGCCUGAUGCAGCAACGCCGCGUGCGGGAUGACGGCCUUCGGGUUGUAAACCGCUUUCGCCUGUGACGAAGCGUGAGUGACGGUAAUGGGUAAAGAAGCACCGGCUAACUACGUG